This 200-nucleotide ribosomal RNA is filed under the name uncultured bacterium. Its description in RNAcentral is "partial 16S ribosomal RNA". It matches the Rfam family "Bacterial small subunit ribosomal RNA", at positions 29 to 258 of the family's 1533-position model. The record is from RNAcentral.
AGCGAACGCUGGCGGCAGGCCUAACACAUGCAAGUCGAACGAAGUCUUCGGACUUAGUGGCGGACGGGUGAGUAACACGUGGGAACGUACCUUUUGGUUCGGAACAACUCAGGGAAACUUGAGCUAAUACCGAAUGUGCCCUUGGGGAAAGAUUUAUCGCCAUUAGAGCGGCCCGCGUUAGAUUAGCUAGUUGGUGGGUA